AUACGGAGGGUGCAAGCGUUGUCCGGAUUUAUUGGGUUUAAAGGGUGUGUAGGCGGUGUAUUAAGUCAGUGGUGAAAGCCUGCGGCUCAACCGUAGAACUGCCAUUGAUACUGACACACUUGAGUUUGGUUGAGGUAGGCGGAAUUUAUGGUGUAGCGGUGAAAUGCAUAGAUACCAUAAAGAACACCGAUAGCGAAGGCAGCUUACUAAGCCGAAACUGACACUGAGGCACGAAAGCGUGGGGAGCGAACAGGAUUAGAAACCCCAGUAGUCC
Molecule: ribosomal RNA, 274 nt
Filed under: uncultured bacterium
Lineage: Bacteria
Description: partial 16S ribosomal RNA
Rfam family: Bacterial small subunit ribosomal RNA
Source: RNAcentral